UAUGAAUCGAAUUUUGUGGUCUUUGGUGCUGGCCUCUGUCUCUCAGCAUUACUGUUUUCAAGGCUUCUCCAUGCUGCGAUGUUGCUGUGUCAGAUGUUCUCAGAACACACAGAUCCGACUAUAACAUGACACCCUAGGAAAUGGAGUCUGUAGUCCUUCAGGAUGAUACGUUGGCCUACGCAGAAAGAGAUUCUCUCACCAAUGCCUGUGAUUUGUACCUUUCCUAUGGGUGUAUUAAAAACAGCUGCUUCACGAGCCAGCGAUGGUUUUGUCUUUUCUCUGUCAUCCUGAAGGGAGAAAUAUCUUCUGAAGCUUCAAGAGGAAGAAACCGAGGGUCAGAGAGUUGCUCAAGGUCUCCCUUGAGAGAACAGAGGCCUUAGGAAGCAGACCAAGGGCUAGAGGUUCCUCCGGACAUCUUCCCUGGACAGAGGACGGGCGCGGCCAGGGUCCAUGUGCUACAGAAAUGAGAAAGUCACAAUCCCCAUCUGCAAGAAGUUCACAGUCUACUGGGGAGUAGACGUGCCACCAAAUCAUUCUUGCACACCGAGCUACUAGAAACAGUCGCAGUGUGCAGACUCUGGUUCUCCACAUCGGCAGGACUCGUGGAGAACGUUGUCAAGCAAGAGGCCAUGCCAA
This is a long non-coding RNA of Neogale vison (American mink), 636 nucleotides long. RefSeq lists it as uncharacterized. The transcript is spliced from 7 exons. The record is from RefSeq and is a predicted model, not a curated record. NCBI's taxonomy places the organism in Eukaryota, Metazoa, Chordata, Mammalia, Carnivora, Mustelidae.